UCAUUGGGGAGGUAAUGGCUCGCCUCGGCAAUGACACGACACUGGUCUGGGUUGAUGAUCAUGAUCACUGGACUGACCUGAGACCGACCCCUACUCCAGGCGGCAGUGGGGAAUAUUGAAUAUUGCCGGAGGAGGAAUGUCUGAUGGACCCGCGCCGCGUGAAGGAUGACACUUUUCAGAUCUUUUUUCCUUUAAUAUAAAAGNAUAAUGACCGGACUAUAAUGAAUAAGACCCCCGGCUAACUUCCGUCCCAGCAACAGCGGGAGUACGAGAGGGUGCAGACGUUACUCGGAAUCACUGGGUGUAAAGAGCGUGUAUGCGGGUUAAUAAGUNAGAAGUGAAAAUCCUAUAGCUUAACUAUAGAACUGCUUUCGAAACUGUUAACGUAGAAUAUGGGAGAGGUAGAUGGAAUUUCUGGGUGUAGGGGUAAAAUCCGUAGAGAUCAGAAGGGAAUACCGAUUGCGAAGGCGAUCUACUGGAACAUUAUUGACGCUGAGACGCGAAAACGUGGGGAGCAAACCAGGAUUAGAUACCCUGGUAGUCCACGCCCUAAACGAUGUACACUAGUUGUUGCGAUGCUAGACAUUGCAGUAAUGCAGUUAACACAUUAAGUGUACCGCCUGGGGAGUACGGUCGCAAGAUUAAAACUCAAAGGAAUAGACGGGGACCCGCACAAGCGGUGGAGCAUGUGGUUUAAUUCGACGAUACGCGAAGAACCUUACCUGGACUUGACAUUUACAGAAUUUUUCAGAGAUGAGAGAGUGUCUGCUUGCAGAAGCUGUAGGACAGGUGCUGCACGGCUGUCGUCAGCUCGUGUCGUGAGAUGUUGGGUUAAGUCCCGCAACGAGCGCAACCCACGUCGUUAGUUGCUAACAGUUCGGCUGAGAACUCUAACGAGACUGCCUGGGCAACCAGGAGGAAGGUGUGGACGACGUCAAGUCAUCAUGGCCCUUACGUCCAGGGCUACACACGUGCUACAAUGGGGCAUACAAAGAGCAGCGAUACGGUGACGUGGAGCAAAUCUCAAAAAUGCCUCCCAGUUCGGAUAGUAGUCUGCAACUCGACUACUUGAAGUUGGAAUCGCUAGUAAUCGUAGAUCAGCAAUGCUACGGUGAAUACGUUCCCGGGUCUUGUACUCACCGCCCGUCACACCAUGGGAGUUGAACUCAUUCGAAGCGGGGAUGCUAAGAUAGCUACCCUCCACAGUGGAUUCAGCGACUGGGGUG
Molecule: ribosomal RNA, 1226 nt
Filed under: uncultured bacterium
Lineage: Bacteria
Description: bacterial SSU rRNA
Rfam family: Bacterial small subunit ribosomal RNA
Source: RNAcentral